This 68-nucleotide transfer RNA is filed under the name Crystallogobius linearis (crystal goby). RNAcentral's name for it is "tRNA-Phe". It matches the Rfam family "tRNA". Rfam says of the family: Transfer RNA (tRNA) molecules are approximately 80 nucleotides in length. The record is from RNAcentral. Lineage: Eukaryota; Metazoa; Chordata; Actinopteri; Gobiiformes; Gobiidae.
GUUUGCGUAGCUUAAAUAGAGCAUGACACUGAAGAUGUUAAGAUGGCCCCUAGAAAGGCCCGGAAACA